This 488-nucleotide ribosomal RNA is filed under the name uncultured bacterium. RNAcentral's name for it is "partial 16S ribosomal RNA". It matches the Rfam family "Bacterial small subunit ribosomal RNA", at positions 28 to 507 of the family's 1533-position model. The record is from RNAcentral.
GACGAACGCUGGCGGCGUGCUUAACACAUGCAAGUCGAACGAAAAUACCAAGCUUGCUUGGUUGAUUAGUGGCGAACGGGUGAGUAACACGUGAGUAACCUGCCCCUUACUUUCCUGGAUAACUGCUCGAAAGGGUAGCUAAUACGGGAUAUUCUGACCAGCCUGCAUGGGUUGGUUUGGAAAGGUUGUUUUUCUGGUAAGGGAUGGGCUCGCGGCCUAUCAGCUUGUUGGUGGGGUGAUGGCCUACCAAGGCUUUGACGGGUAGCCGGCCUGAGAGGGUGGACGGUCACACUGGGACUGAGAUACGGCCCAGACUCCUACGGGAGGCAGCAGUGGGGAAUAGUGCACAAUGGGCGCAAGCCUGAUGCAGCGACGCCGCGUGAGGGAUGAAGGCCUUCGGGUUGUAAACCUCUUUCGUCAGGGAACAAGGCACUGCUUUUGUGGUGGUGUUGAGGGUACCUGGAGAAGAAGCGCCGGCUAACUACGUG